CCUACGGGUGGCAGCAGUGGGGAAUAUUGCACAAUGGGCGAAAGCCUGAUGCAGCAACGCCGCGUGAAGGAAGAAGGCCUUCGGGUCGUAAACUUCUGUCCUUGGGGAAGAAGAACUGCCGGUACCCAAGGAGGAAGCCCCGGCUAACUACGUGCCAGCAGCCGCGGUAAUACGUAGGGGGCAAGCGUUAUCCGGAAUUAUUGGGCGUACAGAGUACGUAGGUGGCAACCUAAGCGCAGGGUUUAAGGCAAUGGCGCAACCAUUGUUCGCCCUGCGAACUGGGAUGCUUGAGUGCAGGAGAGGAAAGCGGAAUUCCUAGUGUAGCGGUGAAAUGCGUAGAUAUUAGGAGGAACACCAGUGGCGAAGGCGGUCUGCUGGACAGCAACUGACGGUGAGGCGCGAAAGCGUGGGGAGCAAACAGGAUUAGAUACCCCGGUAGUC
RNAcentral lists this ribosomal RNA (441 nucleotides) under uncultured bacterium. RNAcentral describes it as "partial 16S ribosomal RNA". It matches the Rfam family "Bacterial small subunit ribosomal RNA", at positions 338 to 795 of the family's 1533-position model. The record is from RNAcentral.